Molecule: non-coding RNA, 1017 nt
Organism: Paramuricea clavata
Lineage: Eukaryota; Metazoa; Cnidaria; Anthozoa; Malacalcyonacea; Plexauridae
Source: the annotation of a GenBank genome assembly
CUUGUUGAAUGUUGGUUUUGCCAGUCGAUAAAUAUAAAUCUAGCCUCCUAACAAUCCCUAACUUUAAAUUCUCUGUUAUUCAUAAUACUUUUGCCAAAGAGUUGCCUGCGGAGAGGCUAAUAAAUAUCCUCUUUCUUGAAAAAUCGCCACAAUUUUCCCCACGACGGUUUUUUUUACUACGAGUACGAUAUGGGCUUUUACAAUAAAGCGUCUUUUUUUUCUACGUCGCUUAUCUCUCAGCCUGGGAGACUUAAUCUUAUGAAUCGUAAGCGCAAUGCCUUUUGUCUUAAUUCGUAAGAGCGAGAUUUCCUCAAAAUCUAUGUUUUCGCUGCAUGUAAUUAGUGUCCAUGGUCAAACAGUGUUAAUUAUUGUGGUGAAAAAUAAUCAAUCGUGCUGUGUUAUAAUUAUGGUGCCGCCGUUUCUAUUAUAGCACAUCAUUAUACUGAGACGUGCGUAUUGUCGCACUAAAACUCCCAAAAUGGACAUUUCUGUUGUUAUCAGACAGCAUUACCCACGUUGUGUCAACAGAAGUGUUGACAGGUUAUUAUAUCAGCCAGCUACUGCGCGUGCGCUAGCAGGUACAGUAAGAACAAAAAUGCAAAAGCGUAUAUGAUGAACAUUUACGGCCAUUUACCAUUUGGUCACGUUUAAAAUGAAAGCAAAUAUUUGGUGACUGUGAAAAUACCAUGUUUCCUGAUGUUUUUUGAAAGAUCGACUUCCUAGUUUAAAUUUUUUGACUCUCUUGAAACAUGCCAAUAUAAUAUUAGUACCGGUGGAACAUUGUUAAAUAUAUUGUCUGUAGGGUGUAAUCUAUCACUCUUGAGCCGUGGUUUGAUAGCACUGUGGCAACAACGAAAGUUUAUGACAAUAGCUGUAUUUAAUAAAAAGCCGUGGGGCUUUUUUAUAUCACAAUGUUAUUAUAGUGUUUACCCUGUUAGCAACAGAACAAUUGGGUUUUCUUUCCCCAUAUCAAAAUUGAAAUUAAAAUAUAUUUGUCGGUUUCGAAAUUUCAAUAUU